This 99-nucleotide microRNA precursor is filed under the name Capra hircus (goat). RNAcentral describes it as "mir-544 microRNA precursor family". It matches the Rfam family "mir-544 microRNA precursor family". RNAcentral also lists the same sequence under 1 other name. Lineage: Eukaryota; Metazoa; Chordata; Mammalia; Artiodactyla; Bovidae. The record is from Rfam by way of RNAcentral.
AUUACCUGGGGGAUCUUAUUAAUAUGCAGAUUCUGACUCAGUAAGUCUAGGGUAGGGCCCAAGAUUCUGCAUUUCUAGCAAGUUCCCAGGUAAUGCCAA